RNAcentral lists this non-coding RNA (283 nucleotides) under Tupaia belangeri chinensis (Chinese tree shrew). RNAcentral describes it as "Tupaia chinensis (Chinese tree shrew) Eukaryotic small subunit ribosomal RNA". It matches the Rfam family "Eukaryotic small subunit ribosomal RNA", at positions 57 to 285 of the family's 1831-position model. The record is from Rfam by way of RNAcentral. Lineage: Eukaryota; Metazoa; Chordata; Mammalia; Scandentia; Tupaiidae.
GUCUAAGUACGCACGGCCGGUACAGUGAAACCGCGAAUGGCUCAUUAAAUCAGUUAUGGUUCCUUUGGUCGCUCGCUCCUCUCCUAUUUGGAUAACUGUGGUAAUUCUAGAGCUAAUACAUGCCGAUGGGCACUGACCCCGUAGGAAGGUUGCCAGUUCAAGUCUGGAGACCUCCCUGAGGAGGGCAGGCACACACAUGCCCACAAUCUGGGCUGGCUAAAGCUUGGGGUAGGUUGCAGCCUCAGGACAUUUGAGGGUCCUCUCUCUAUCUCUCUCUCUCGGG